This 229-nucleotide ribosomal RNA is filed under the name uncultured bacterium. RNAcentral's name for it is "partial 16S ribosomal RNA". It matches the Rfam family "Bacterial small subunit ribosomal RNA", at positions 568 to 796 of the family's 1533-position model. The record is from RNAcentral.
UCCGUAGGCGGGCUAAUAAGUCAGGGGUGAAAUCCCACAGCUUAACUGUGGAACUGCCUUUGAUACUGUUAGUCUUGAGUUAUAUGGAAGUAGAUAGAAUGUGUAGUGUAGCGGUGAAAUGCAUAGAUAUUACACAGAAUACCGCUUGCGAAGGCAGUCUACUACGUAUAUACUGACGCUAAUGGACGAAAGCGUGGGGAGCGAACAGGAUUAGAUACCCUGGUAGUCC